RNAcentral lists this ribosomal RNA (257 nucleotides) under uncultured Prevotella sp. RNAcentral's name for it is "partial 16S ribosomal RNA". It matches the Rfam family "Bacterial small subunit ribosomal RNA", at positions 698 to 961 of the family's 1533-position model. Lineage: Bacteria; Pseudomonadati; Bacteroidota; Bacteroidia; Bacteroidales; Prevotellaceae. The record is from RNAcentral.
GACGAAGAACUCCGAUUGCGAAGGCAGCUGACGGAGCGCAACUGACGCUUAAGCUCGAAGGUGCGGGUAGUCAACAGGAUUAGAUACCCUGGUAGUCCGCACAGUAACGAUGGAUGCCCGCUGUUGGUACCUGGUAUCAGCGGCUAAGCGAAAGCAUUAAGCAUCCCACCUGGGGAUACGGCGGCAACGGUGAAACUCAAAGGAUUGACGGGNGCGCNCGCGAGUCCGUGGGAGGCGAAGGCACGACAGGGGAUAGG